AUGCAGGUGGUGACGGGCGCCAUGGGCAGCCUGCUCCCCAAGCUGGGGCAGCUGCUCAUGGAGGAGUACAACCUGCAGAAGAACGCCAAGAAAGGCGUCGAGUCUCUCGUGCGAGAGAUGAAGAGCAUGCACGCUGCGCUCUGCAAAGUGGCGGAGGUGCCGCGCCAUCAGCUCGACGAGCAAGUCAAGCUCUGGGCUGACGAGGUCAGGGAUCUUUCCUACGACAUAGAAGACAUCGUUGACAAGUUCAUCGUGCGUGUCGAGGGCCCUAGUAAACCUGCUGCUGAUGGCAACAAGCUCACAGACCUUGUGGAGAAGAUGGCCAACUUGUUUAACAAGGGCAAGGCGCGCCGCCAGAUCGCUAGCGCCAUCAAGGAAAUCAACAAGGAUGUCCAAGAGGUGGCCAACAGGCGCGGCAGGUACACAGUUGAUAAUAUUUUGCCUAAGCCUACGGCUGUGACCACUAUCGAUCCUCGUCUCCGCGCUCUAUACACUGAAGUUACAGAGCUUGUUGGCAUCUAUGGGAAGAGGGAUCAAGAGCUUCUCAAGUUAUUAGCUUUGGGAGAUGAAGAUCCCUCCAACAAGAGACCAAAAAUAGUCUCUGUCGUUGGAUUCGGCGGAUUGGGCAAGACCACUCUGGUCAGAGCAGUAUAUGACAAGAUCAAAGGUGGUUUUGAUUCACGGGCUUUUGUUCCAAUUGGUCAGAAUCCUGACAUGAAGAAGAUUUUCAGGGACAUCCUUAUUGGUCUAGACAAAAAUACGUAUACUAAUAUCAAUCUCAUGGUACUAGAUGAAAAACAACUUAUCGAAGAAAUCCGGGACUUCCUUCACGACAAGAGGUAUCUCGUCGUAAUUGAUGAUAUAUGGGAUGGAAAACUAUGGGGAGAUAUCAAGUUGGCUUUCUCUAAUAUGAACAAUCUUGGCAGUCACUUAAUCACGACAACUCGCAUAUUUAGUGUGUCCAUAGCAUGUUGUCCUUCCACUCAUGAUUCCAUUUAUCAAAUGGAACCUCUCUCAGAUAGUGACUCUACAAGGCUCUUUUGUAAAAGAAUAUUUUCAAGUGAGAGUAAAUGUCCUAGUGAACUUAAGGAAGUGUCUAUAGAUAUUUUGAAGAAAUGUGGCGGUGUACCAUUAGCUAUCCUUACUAUAGCUAGUGUUCUCACUGUUGGUCAUCAGAUCAAGCCAAAAGUUGAAUGGCAAGUUCUGCUAGAUUCAAUUGGGCGUGGACUUACAGAAGAGGCAAGUAUGGAGGAAAUGCAGAGGAUACUGUCACUUAGCUACUAUGAUCUGCCUUUUGAUCUGAAGACUUGCCUAUUAUAUUUAUGUAUGUAUCCAGAAGAUCAUGAGAUUGACAAAAAAGAUCUGAUAUGGAAGUGGAUAUGCGAAAAUUUUGUGCAGCAUGGAAAACAUCAGACUAGCAUCUUUGAAGUUGGGGAAACUUUUUUUAACGAGCUCAUAAACAGAUACAUGAUUAUACCAAUAUUCAAUGGUUUUCGUGAAGUAAAAAGUUGCCGUGUGCAUGACAUGGUGCUUGAUAUGAUUCGUUCCUUGUCAGCUGAAGCAAAGUUUUUGACAAUAUUGGAAAGUAACAAGGAUGUGACUAGUUCUCACAGAAAUAUCCGUAGACUAUCUCUCCAGAAUACCGAGGAAGAUCAACAAGCUGCACCUCUCAUCAAUUCAAUGUGUAUAUCACAAGUGAGGUCCAUCAAUGUCUUUCCACCAGCUGUGACUAUCAUGCCUGCUAUAUCUAGCUUUGGUGUUUUACGUGUAUUGGACUUGUGUUGA
RNAcentral lists this ribosomal RNA (1785 nucleotides) under Triticum aestivum (bread wheat). RNAcentral describes it as "partial small subunit ribosomal RNA". The record is from RNAcentral. Lineage: Eukaryota; Viridiplantae; Streptophyta; Magnoliopsida; Poales; Poaceae.